Poecilia latipinna (sailfin molly) is the source of this 2521-nucleotide long non-coding RNA. RefSeq lists it as uncharacterized. The record is from RefSeq and is a predicted model, not a curated record. The transcript has 2 exons. NCBI's taxonomy places the organism in Eukaryota, Metazoa, Chordata, Actinopteri, Cyprinodontiformes, Poeciliidae.
CGCCCUCCACCCGACAGCUCUCCCGGUCUGUGUGUCUCUUUGGCUCAGCUGUUUGUGUCCCAGCUUUCACUGAUCCAGCACAGAAAUGGACAUUUCCUCCUCCGAGAGUGAGAGACACUGAGAUGUGGGACACAGGAUGUAGGACACCUUGCCUUCACACUGAUAUUCUGUCUUAUCUACAAAGAUGUCCCCUCCACUGGACUUAAUAAGCCGACACAUAAACAUGACAAUCAUGCUAUUGUAUGUCACCUGUCAGCAGGGGCUUCUCACCAAGGUGAUAUGCAAAUGAAAUAACACACUCUUACAAUUUGUAGUCUGUCAACCAGGCUGUAAUUAAUCUGCUACUGAUUUUCCGUCACUGCCUAUACCCAUAAUUCAACAUUUUGAGACUUGCAUCUCCAAAAUGAAUCCCGAUGACAAAGCUGCUACAGUAUAUGUUAAUUCUCUUUUAUAUCACCUUCAAUAACAUUGCAGCCAAUGUUCUGGAAGAAACAAUUUUUAUGUCACUAUUUUUGCGCUUAUUUUGUUGUUUGAGUGCCGCGCUGCUGGGGAGCCUCUUGGUCUGAUUUUGGCUAAGCAGGAAGAGAGCAUCGUUCAGUGUGUACCAGUUAUUCUUUGAGCUUUUGGUGACUUCAGGUGUAAGUGGACGGUCACACUCUGUCAGGCCUCAUCUUCUGAGAACAAAGAGAGGUCUUAUGGGAGUUCACAGCACAAAGCUGCCCUCCAAGGGCAACAGACAAAAGGGACAGAGAGGAAGUCAGCUUCCUGCUGCAUGCUUUGCUUUGAAAGCAUUGUUCAAAUACAAAAAAAAUUAUGAAACAAAAGCAAAAGAUAGAAACUAUCUACACAUCUAACAUGAAGUGGAAAUAUAAGCAUGUGUCUCAGAGCUUUUUCCAUCACAAUAUGUCUAAAUAUUAGCCUCAGCUCUUGAAAUCUUCCUUUUCUUUGACAUGAGAUGUAUAUUUUUAUGGAGCUCAUCUACAGUGCCUUACAAAGCUGUUUGUACCCUAACGUAUCAUGUUGCACCCACAAAAAGAUAUUGUGAUUUAAUGGGAGUUUAUGUGAUAUUUAAAUAUAAAAUGUUACGAUGAAAACAGAAGGAUAAAUGGUUUUCAAUAUGUUUUUUUUUACAAGUUAAAACAGGAAUGUUUUAACUUAAAAGUUUACAAGUUAUAAGAAAUAUAGUAAAAGUUUUUCACAAACCAUGUACAGGCCACAGCAAAUAUACUCCACUCAUUUGAGGUCAGAAUUUAAUCUUAUGGCUUAUAUGCUUCUUUCUCUUCCAAUUUGAAAGUCAAAUAAAGGAAACUAGAGCUACAAAAAAAAACUAUGCAAAAUGAAGAUGCAGAAGACUUGAAUGAAGCCAGUAGAGACAUGCCACAAAAGACUUACAGUGAGAAAGUUCUUCUACAAAGUGUUGGCUCUGGGGCAGUGAAUACAAAUACAAGAAAAACCUUUGAUUGUUUGUAAAAAAAAUAAAAAUAAAAAAUAACGUUUUAAAAAUUAUGCAUCCUUUUUCUUCCACUUUUUAUCUAAGGGGUCAAAAUCAUUUUUGACUGUUGUUGAUAAAUAUGUUAAGAACCAAAUGCAUUUUCAAUCUAAAUAGGGUUUGCCUUCUAUAGUAAUAGUAGAAAGACAUGCCACAAAUUACCCCGUGAAUAUAAGUCUCUAUUAUCAUAAAAACAGGGAUUUUCAGCAUCUGGAAACAGUUCACACAUAAAUUACUUCUCCAGAGGGACAAAAAAAAAAAAAAAAAGGACAAAAAGAAAAAUGUGGAGUACAUAUCAAUGAGAAUAUUUAGACGUGUUACCCCCCAUCUAAACAAGUGGUUUACACUUGCUGUCAUCAGAAGAUUGUUUGUAAUGAUAGCUGGGAAACCAGCAAUCCCCAGCAGUGCACAGACACAGGACAUCUGCACACUGGCUGUUUCAUCUGCUGGCUCAACAGCGGCAAAUGAAACAGCCAAGACAUACCCAGGAGGGACUAGCAACACAAGCUGUAAAUUAGCUAAUGUCAGCUAUAAUUACAAUGUGCUAAGCCAAAAUGAAGUAAAGUUUGUUUUCCCCUCGGUGUCACUUCAGAGUGUUGACUGCAGAGAAAUAGCAGCGACGAAGAAAUGCCAACAUAGCAUGUGCAUGUAUGUUUUUAUACAUUUGCAUUGCGUCCUAAUCAAUUUCUCUUUUAUUAUUUAUGUAGGAACUACAACGAAAAUGAACAGUCUGAGUAGUUUUCAUUGAAAUCUGAAAGUAAUGACCCAACAAUUGGCCUUGAGCAGAAAUCUGUCGAAGACGAAAUCCACUCAUAAUUACCAAAUCAAAACUUGACUUGGUUGUGAAAGUAUGGAACAAUAUUCAGCACAUCAAGGCAUUUGUCUCCUCUGCAGAACAUGUUGGUAGUCACAACAGAUCAAUAAGUUUAUUACCCCUGAAGCAGCAUACGAUGAAACCUGUUGAUAGGCUUCUUUGUGUAACAUUAUGGUGGCUAUCCAAAUAAAGUAAAGCAAUCGAACACAAUUUAGUUG